RNAcentral lists this ribosomal RNA (415 nucleotides) under Vibrio sp. Evh1. RNAcentral describes it as "bacterial SSU rRNA". It matches the Rfam family "Bacterial small subunit ribosomal RNA", at positions 209 to 616 of the family's 1533-position model. The record is from RNAcentral. Lineage: Bacteria; Pseudomonadati; Pseudomonadota; Gammaproteobacteria; Vibrionales; Vibrionaceae.
GGCCUCUCGCGUCAAGAUAUGCCUAGGUGGGAUUAGCUAGUUGGUGAGGUAAUGGCUCACCAAGGCGACCAUCCCUAGCUGGUCUGAGAGGAUGAUCAGCCACACUGGAACUGAGACACGGUCCAGACUCCUACGGGAGGCAGCAGUGGGGAAUAUUGCACAAUGGGCGAAAGCCUGAUGCAGCCAUGCCGCGUGUAUGAAGAAGGCCUUCGGGUUGUAAAGUACUUUCAGUUGUGAGGAAGGGUGUGUAGUUAAUAGCUGCACAUCUUGACGUUAGCAACAGAAGAAGCACCGGCUAACUCCGUGCCAGCAGCCGCGGUAAUACGGAGGGUGCGAGCGUUAAUCGGAAUUACUGGGCGUAAAGCGCAUGCAGGUGGUUCAUUAAGUCAGAUGUGAAAGCCCGGGGCUCAACCUC